RNAcentral lists this unclassified non-coding RNA (807 nucleotides) under Hevea brasiliensis (rubber tree). Lineage: Eukaryota; Viridiplantae; Streptophyta; Magnoliopsida; Malpighiales; Euphorbiaceae. The record is from RNAcentral.
ACAGUAUUAAGGCAUGCACUGAGCACAAUUACAAUAGUUACUAACAAGAAAAAAUAAGACUUGAUGAUCCCGAGCAAAAUCUCAGCUGUAAUAAUACUGGGAGGUGAAAAUUUACAAAGCAAAGACACUAUGAUUUUGACCUAGCUAUUCUACCUAUCUUGCCUAUGCUUUCUAGUCCAGUGUUGCGUAAGACAGCUCUAUUGGCUCAACAGAGUUCCCCAGCAGGGGAAAUCAUGCUUGAGGAAACUAAGUUUAACACGCAUUUUCAAGGCAUGCCAACCACGAAACUCUCAGUUGAUCUUGGGCUUGGCUCUUCUAGGCUUUAGCACAAACCAAAGAACGAAGAAAACAACGAGGAAAGCAGGUAUUGUUGUCAUGUCAAACUCGACCUUAACUUCUCUUCGACGGGUGCAAUGUACUGGAUGGAGACUUGCUAGAGUUGUAUCGACAUAAUUUACAAACCCUUUUGAUGCAUCCUCUAAGGUAUAGAGAAGUCUCAAGGCAUCCAGAUAACGCAGUUCCCCACUGACAGUUGAAAUUCUUCUCCACAAGCUAACAACAUAGUUGUAUUUGUUCACCAACUCGCGCUCGUGGGUUUUAAAGAGCUUAAAAGUCUGUUCUGAUGUCCGCUCCAUAACAAGGCGAUGAAUAGCCGAAUUGACCAAUUGAACAGACUCUUCAAGUGCUGUCAAUACAUAGCUUCGAGCAACAGUGUCUGAAUGGAAUUUGGAGAUAUGCCAGCCUUGGGAAGUGAUGGAUAGAGGAUUGCAUCCAACUGACCAGAUCCAGUCCUCAAUUGCAGUUUCA